Molecule: long non-coding RNA, 1314 nt
Organism: Brienomyrus brachyistius
Lineage: Eukaryota; Metazoa; Chordata; Actinopteri; Osteoglossiformes; Mormyridae
Exons: 3
Source: RefSeq, a predicted model, not a curated record
AGCCUGUGUACGGACAGGUUGCCGGUCUCCGACGGUAAGGUUACACAGCCUGUGUACGGACAGGUUGGCGGUCUCCGACGGUAAGGUUACACAGCCUGUGUACGGAGAGGUUGGCGGUCUCCGACGGUAAGGUUACACAGCCUGUGUACGGAGAGGUUGGCGGUCUCCGACGGUAAGGUUACACAGCCUGUGUACGGACAGGUUGCCGGUCUCCGACGGUAAGGUUACACAGCCUGUGUACGGACAGGUUGCCGGUCUCCGACGGUAAGGUUACACAGCCUGUGUACGGACAGGUUGCCGGUCUCCGACGGUAAGGUUACACAGCCUGUGUACGGACAGGUUGCCGGUCUCCGACGGUAAGGUUACACAGCCUGUGUACGGAGAGGUUGGCGGUCUCCGACGGUAAGGUUACACAGCCUGUGUACGGAGAGGUUGGCGGUCUCCGACGGUAAGGUUACACAGCCUGUGUACGGACAGGUUGGCGGUCUCCGACGGUAAGGUUACACAGCCUGUGCACGCACAGGUUGACGGUCUCUGCCGGUAAGGAUACACUGUUGCAUGUUGUCAAAGAAUCAUCUAGACUACAAUAAUAAUAACAGCAUUAUUUGGUACUUAUGGUAUAGUGGAAGGUUCAGUCGACCAAGUCCACUCUAAGAAUGCUGAGAGCAGAUGCAAAUGUUUAUCAAUCAGUUACCUAAAAUGUAAGGAAUUACUUCUCUUCCUACACCAUCUAAGCAGAAAGUUAUGUUUUCUGUACCAUUUGUAGAAAUAACCCAUGGCUCUUAAUAUUAACCGUAAUUACUGGGGUACAUAUUAAAAUCAGCUGAAUACAGAGCAGAGUUGCUCUGUGCACUGACAGUAGCUGAAAAACAUGAAAACAAAUCUUAUCUCAAAAGCUAAGGAUAGUUUGCCAAAGGAUUUAACUGCUAACUAGAAUGUAUUGAAGACGACCAAAAAAAAAAACUUUUGAAUUAACCUAAAAUUCUUAUUCUUGCUUUUUCUUUCCCCUCUUUUGCUCAGAUUGUUGUUGAAAGAUUCCUGACAUUCAGGUUCUACUGAAAUAAUAUGCUGGAUUGUAGGAGCUGUUGUACACAUUGACUGGCAAGUUUAUCCACACAUUUGUGUACAACUGAAGUUUGCAUUCAGCUGCAAGAUUACUAUUCUGCCAGUAUUCUGUCAGAAUGACUACAAUGACGUGGUAUAAUGAUUUUCUUAGUUAGAAACAAUUGUAUCUUAAGCGUUUUGUUGCUUUGAGCACUUAAAAUUGGGUGACCUUACUGAUAAAGUGUAAAAUGUUAGUUAUAAGAAUGGAUC